GACGAACGCUGGCGGCGUGCUUAACACAUGCAAGUCGAACGGAAAGGCCCUGCUUGCAGGGUACUCGAGUGGCGAACGGGUGAGUAACACGUGGGUGAUCUGCCCUGCACUUCGGGAUAAGCCUGGGAAACUGGGUCUAAUACCGGAUAGGAGCCAUUUUUAGUGUGAUGGUUGGAAAGUUUUUUCGGUGUAGGAUGAGCUCGCGGCCUAUCAGCUUGUUGGUGGGGUAAUGGCCUACCAAGGCGGCGACGGGUAGCCGGCCUGAGAGGGUGGACGGCCACAUUGGGACUGAGAUACGGCCCAGUCUCCUACGGGAGGCAGCAGUGGGGAAUAUUGCACAAUGGGCGCAAGCCUGAUGCAGCGACGCCGCGUGGGGGAUGACGGCCUUCGGGUUGUAAACUCCUUUCGCUAGGGACGAAGCUUUUUGUGACGGUACCUAGAUAAGAAGCACCGGCUAACUACGUG
This 465-nucleotide ribosomal RNA is filed under the name uncultured bacterium. Its description in RNAcentral is "partial 16S ribosomal RNA". It matches the Rfam family "Bacterial small subunit ribosomal RNA", at positions 28 to 507 of the family's 1533-position model. The record is from RNAcentral.